This 1026-nucleotide ribosomal RNA is filed under the name Umbelopsis angularis. RNAcentral's name for it is "eukaryotic LSU rRNA". It matches the Rfam family "Eukaryotic large subunit ribosomal RNA", at positions 1 to 941 of the family's 3401-position model. The record is from RNAcentral. Lineage: Eukaryota; Fungi; Mucoromycota; Umbelopsidomycetes; Umbelopsidales; Umbelopsidaceae.
CAAAUUUUGAUCUGAAAUCAGGUAGGAUUACCCGCUGAACUUAAGCAUAUCAAUAAGCGGAGGAAAAGAAACUAACAAGGAUUCCCUCAGUAACGGCGAGUGAAGCGGGAAGAGCUCAAAUUUAAAAUCUGGUUUGCUUGCAAGCCCGAGUUGUAGUCUGAAGAAACGUUUUCCAUAAGCACUGAGGCAAAAGUCCCUUGGAACAGGGCAUCAUAGAGGGUGAGAAUCCCGUCCAUGGUCUCAAGUUGUUUAUUUUGUGAUACGUUUUCAAAGAGUCAGGUUGUUUGGGAAUGCAGCCUAAAAUGGGUGGUAAAUUUCAUCUAAAGCUAAAUAUUGGCGAGAGACCGAUAGCGAACAAGUACCGUGAGGGAAAGAUGAAAAGAACUUUGAAAAGAGAGUUAAACAGUACGUGAAAUUGUUGAAAGGGAACCGUUUGAAGCCAGUCUUACUUGCCUGUGAUCAAUUUUUGCYUCGGCAUGAAUGCACUCUCGGGUAUGGUAGGCCAACGACAGUUUGGAAUGCGAGAAAAAAAUAAGGGAAAUGUGGCCUUCGGGUGUUAUAGUCCCUUAUAAAAUAUCGUGUUCUGGACUGAGGAUCGCAGCAAAAAYGUGGGCAGGUGGAUUUCUGUGGUAACUGUCGRUUAGGACAACUUGUUGACCUAGUCUUCCUUAGCCUCACUAUUUACCUCGCUUCUAAUUUGCUUAGGUCGUUGGCAUAAUGGCUUUAAAUGACCCGUCUUGAAACACGGACCAAGGAGUCUAACAUAUAUGCGAGUAUUUGGGUGGCAAACCCAUAUGCGCAAUGAAAGUGAAAUUAGGUGCCAAACCUUCACGGGUGGCAGCAUCGGCCGGCUCUGACGUUUUAACUGACGAGUCUGAGCAGAAGCAUACAUGUUGGGACCCGAAAGAUGGUGAACUAUGCCUGAAUAGGGUGAAGCCAGAGGAAACUCUGGUGGAGGCUCGUAGCGAUUCUGACGUGCAAAUCGAUCGUCAAAUUUGGGUAUAGGGGCGAAAGACUAAUCGAACC